GACGAACGCUGGCGGCAUGCCUAAUACAUGCAAGUCGAGCGAACAGAUGAAGUGCUUGCACUUCUGACGUUAGCGGCGAACGGGUGAGUAACACGUAAGGAAUCUACCUAUAAGCGGGGGAUAACAUUCGGAAACGGGUGCUAAUACCGCAUAAUAUCUUCUUCCGCAUGGAAGUAGAUUGAGAGACGGCUCUGCUGUCACUUAUAGAUGACCUUGCGGUGCAUUAGUUAGUUGGUGGGGUAACGGCCUACCAAGACGAUGAUGCAUAGCCGACCUGAGAGGGUGAUCGGCCACAUUGGGACUGAGACACGGCCCAAACUCCUACGGGAGGCAGCAGUGGGGAAUCUUCCGCAAUGGGCGAAAGCCUGACGGAGCAAUGCCGCGUGAGUGAAGAAGGCCUUCGGGUCGUAAAACUCUGUUAUAAGAGAAGAACAAAUUGUAGAGUAACUGCUACAGUCUUGACGGUAUCUUAUCAGAAAGCCACGGCUAACUACGUGCCAGCCGCCGCGGUAA
RNAcentral lists this ribosomal RNA (513 nucleotides) under uncultured bacterium. RNAcentral's name for it is "partial 16S ribosomal RNA". It matches the Rfam family "Bacterial small subunit ribosomal RNA", at positions 28 to 523 of the family's 1533-position model. The record is from RNAcentral.